AGUGAACGCUGGCGGUAUGCCUAACACAUGCAAGUCGAACGGCAGCACAGUAAGUUGUUGCUGUUACGGGUGGCGGGAGGCGGGCGGGAGAGAUAUGAAUAGGACUCUACUUUUUCGUGGGGGAUACCGAAGGGAGACUUACACUACUACCGAACACGACCUAAGGGUGGAAGAAGGGCAGCUUCGGACCUUUCGCGAUUGAAUGAGCCGAUGUCGGAUUAGCUAGUUGGCGGGGUAAAGGCCCACCAAGGCGACGAUCCGUAGCUGGUCUGAGAGGAUGAUCAGCCACACUGGAACUGAGACACGGCCCAGACUCCUACGGGAGGCAGCAGUGGGGAAUUUUGGACAAUGGGCGCAAGCCUGAUCCAGCAAUGCCGCGUGUGUGAAGAAGGCCUUCGGGUUGUAAAGCACUUUUGUUCGGAAAGAAAACCUUCGCGCUAAUACCGUCGGGUGCUGACGGUACCCGAAGAAUAAGCACCGGCUAACUACGUG
Molecule: ribosomal RNA, 492 nt
Filed under: uncultured bacterium
Lineage: Bacteria
Description: partial 16S ribosomal RNA
Rfam family: Bacterial small subunit ribosomal RNA
Source: RNAcentral